Molecule: ribosomal RNA, 301 nt
Filed under: uncultured bacterium
Lineage: Bacteria
Description: partial 16S ribosomal RNA
Rfam family: Bacterial small subunit ribosomal RNA
Source: RNAcentral
CAGCAGCCGCGGGAAUACGGAGGGUGCGAGCGUUAAUCGGAAUUACUGGGCGUAAAGCGUACGCAGGCGGUUUGUUAAGUCAGAUGUGAAAUCCCCGAGCUUAACUCGGGAACUGCAUUUGAAACUGGCAGGCUAGAGUCUCGUAGAGGGGGGUAGAAUUCCAGGUGUAGCGGUGAAAUGCGUAGAGAUCUGGAGGAAUACCGGUGGCGAAGGCGGCCCCCUGGACGAAGACUGACGCUCAGGUACGAAAGCGUGGGGAGCAAACAGGAUUAGAUACCCGCGUAGUCCCUGUCUCUUAUAA